RNAcentral lists this long non-coding RNA (1684 nucleotides) under Musa acuminata (dwarf banana). RNAcentral describes it as "long non-coding RNA (MACU_LNC000510)". Lineage: Eukaryota; Viridiplantae; Streptophyta; Magnoliopsida; Zingiberales; Musaceae. The record is from RNAcentral.
AACCAGAUCAGUUUUUCUUUCAUAUCAAAUUUUGUGUUGUUCAUGAGUUGAUAUGCAACAUGAUGUGUACUUCUUUUUGUCAACUUGGUAAUCAUAUCAGUGCAGACCCCAUUUGUUUUCAGUUUUGUACAAUAGAUUUGCCUAACAUCUUUUGAUUACAAUUACCGUGAUGAUUAAGUAUCAUAAAUCAAGCAUUUGUUAACUAUUUUAGAUUUGUGAUGCUUUAGAUUUUCCUAACAUCGUAGAUAAUUUCACCUGCAACAACUUUCUUAUAGACUGCAAUUUGUGAUGCUUUAGUCAUAUGUUGAGGCUUAUCUUUCGUUUAUUUUGUGAUCAAGGCACAUUCUUUUUUUUGUUCAUUCAGGGACAAAUAGACCCGGAGCAUUGAUGCUUUAAUUAUUAGAAUUUGAGAAUCGGGUUUGAGUAUCAUUUUUUGUUGAAGCUAUUAUAUUAGCCCUUUGCUAGAGAAUAUCUCUAGUGGUUUCUCAAAUUUGAUUAUUGAAAAGUCUAGUUUUUUACUUGCUCUUUUGACUUGCCUUUUAACAUUCUGUAACCUUGCUUGUGAAUUAUUGACAAUUACUAUAUAAGAAUUGUGACUUCUGUCAGUCUUUCUGUUAAGAAAGAAAAAAGAGACAUUAUCUCACUCUUGAAUUGCAUCCUAGAUAUUCUUUUAUCACAGAUCAUUCAUGAAUAAUAUUUUUAGACACAUUUCAAUUUCUUUAGCCUUUGGUUUUUCUCUUUCAUUUGUGUGUUUUUCACUUUGCACUUUUCUGGCAAAAUAUAUUUCAAACUGAUAUUUAGAUCAUUUUGUCAUCAUUUUAAAACUAAAGAAUUUUCAUAUUAAGAAUAUAGGUUUGUCUAGAGGAAGCCUACCUUGUUGGAGUUGAAUGUAAAGAUACUGAAUAUACAAUUCAUUUGCUGUUGAUGAAUCACUUGAAGAAUUUGCACAAUUAGCUCAUGCUGUUACACUUAUCGAAAGUAUGUUUCUAUUUCCCCAAUUGAACAUGAUUGAGCAAAUAGUUCUAUGGUUGCUCUAAGUGUGUAUUUCUAGAGGUCUAGAAUCUAGGGGUAUAUUAUUGCUUUGGCUGUCAUUGAAUGAUGAAAUUCAGAAAAUAUAUCUUUCUAUCAUUAGUAAACUCUACAGUUCUUCCUAUGUAUCAUGUCCAUCCUUGUCUAGCUUUAUUGAAUAGGAAUUUUGCUACAUAGUUUUAUUUGAUGCUAACCAGAUUCAGUUUUUCUUUCAUAUCAAAUUUGUGUUGUUCAUGAGUUGGAUAUGCAAUGUGAUGUACAUCUUUAUGUCAACUUAGUAAUCAUAUCAGUGCAGGCCUCAUUUGUUUUCAGUUUUGUACAAUAGAUUUACCUAACAUCUUUUGAUUAUAAUCACCAUGAUGAUUAAGUUAGCAAAUUGCUUCAUGGUUGAUGCUACGCAGAGAAUUUCACCUGCAACAACUUUCUUAUAGACUGCCAUUUGUGAUGCUUUACUCAUAUGUUGAGGUUUAUCAUUCUUUUAUUUUAUGAUCAAGGCACAUUCUUCAUUUGUUCAUUCAGGGACAAAGAUACCCAGAGCAAAGAUGCUUCACUUAUAGAAUUUGAGAAUCAGGUUUGAGUAUCUUUUUUUGUUGAAGCUAUUAUAUUACCUUGACUAGAGAAUAUCUCUAGUGUUUCUCAAAUUUGAUUAUUGAAA